UACGGGGGGAGCAAGCGUUGUUCGGAUUUACUGGGCGUAAAGGGCGCGUAGGCGGCGUGGCAAGUCACUUGUGAAAUCUCCGGGCUUAACUCGGAACGGUCAAGUGAUACUGCUGUGCUAGAGUGCGGAAGGGGCAACUGGAAUUCUUGGUGUAGCGGUGAAAUGCGUAGAUAUCAAGAGGAACACCUGCGGCGAAGGCGGGUUGCUGGGCCGACACUGACGCUGAGGCGCGAAAGCUAGGGGAGCGAGCGGG
RNAcentral lists this ribosomal RNA (253 nucleotides) under uncultured bacterium. RNAcentral's name for it is "partial 16S ribosomal RNA". It matches the Rfam family "Bacterial small subunit ribosomal RNA", at positions 524 to 776 of the family's 1533-position model. The record is from RNAcentral.